CAACUGAAGAGUUUGAUCCUGGCUCAGAGUGAACGCUGGCGGCAUGCCUAACACAUGCAAGUCGAACGGCAGCAUGAUCUGUAGCAAUACAGGUUGAUGGCGAGUGGCGGACGGGUGAGGAACACAUCGGAAUCUGCCCGGUCGUGGGGGAUAACGUAGGGAAACUUACGCUAAUACCGCAUGAGACCGAGAGGUGAAAGCGGGGGAUCGCAAGACCUCGCGCGAUUGGAUGAGCCGAUGUCGGAUUAGCUAGUUGGUGGGGUAAAGGCCUACCAAGGCGACGAUCCGUAGCUGGUCUGAGAGGAUGAUCAGCCACACUGGGACUGAGACACGGCCCAGACUCCUACGGGAGGCAGCAGUGGGGAAUAUUGGACAAUGGGGGCAACCCUGAUCCAGCAAUGCCGCGUGUGUGAAGAAGGCCUUCGGGUUGUAAAGC
RNAcentral lists this ribosomal RNA (436 nucleotides) under Lysobacteraceae bacterium. RNAcentral describes it as "bacterial SSU rRNA". It matches the Rfam family "Bacterial small subunit ribosomal RNA", at positions 1 to 431 of the family's 1533-position model. The record is from RNAcentral. Lineage: Bacteria; Pseudomonadati; Pseudomonadota; Gammaproteobacteria; Lysobacterales; Lysobacteraceae.